Molecule: transfer RNA, 77 nt
Filed under: Clostridiales bacterium
Lineage: Bacteria; Bacillati; Bacillota; Clostridia; Eubacteriales
Description: tRNA-Arg
Rfam family: tRNA
About the family: Transfer RNA (tRNA) molecules are approximately 80 nucleotides in length. Their secondary structure includes four short double-helical elements and three loops (D, anti-codon, and T loops).
Source: RNAcentral
GUUUCCGUAGCUCAGUAGGAUAGAGCGGUCGCCUCCUAAGCGACAGGCCGCGAGUUCGAGCCUCGCCGGGAACGCCA